Molecule: long non-coding RNA, 965 nt
Filed under: Capra hircus (goat)
Lineage: Eukaryota; Metazoa; Chordata; Mammalia; Artiodactyla; Bovidae
Description: lncRNA (ENSCHIG00000004507.1)
Source: RNAcentral
GGGAGCAAAAGCCCCGGUCUCUCCUGCUUCUGCCCCUUCUCACACAUUCCCAUUUUCCCUUCCAGCCUUCUGAGCAUCAUGUUUAUCAUGGCUCAGUUGACCUAUGCAAUGGCAGAGGAUGGGCUCCUUUUCCGGGGACUUGCCUGGAUCCCUGCCCCCACCGAUGCCCUCACUGAUGCCCCCACCGAUGCCCGCAUCAUUGUCCACACCGUUGCCCCCACAGGAACCCCCAUCAUGGCCAUCUUGGUUCCUGGAACUCUUGCAGGUGAAUAGACAAAACUCACCCUUUUAAAAUCAUACGUCUUAACUUGCAUAUUUCCAGUGGUUUCUCAUUCUUAUCCCACUGUCCUUGCUCCCUCAUCCCAGCGGUCAUGGCGUUACUCUUCGACUUCACUGACCUGGUGGACCUCAUGUCGUUUCAGUCCCUGCUCGCUUACUCCCUGGUGACAUUUUCUGUCCUUGUCCUCAGGUGUCAACCAGCCCAGAAUGGAAGCCAGGAGAAAACAGAGGAGGAAACUGAGACAAACCCUGAAGUUGAAGGAGGUCCCUUGGAAUCUGAACCUGAAGCAGGAAUCUCAGGCAUUCUAAAGAGUCUGUGGUUCUCUCCCAGCACCAUCCCCACCUGGAAAUCUGGCCAGAUUGUCUAUGGAUGUGCCUCCCUGCUUGUGCUUCUGCUGAUAAUCCUGAGCCUGAUCCUGUACCGGUGGUCCAGCCAGGUGUUCUCUGGAGACCCUGUGCUCACAACAGUGGCUGUGCUGCUGCUGCUGCUCAUCACUGGGGUCACGGUCAUCAUCUGGAGGCAGCCCCAGAACCCCAGGACUCUUCCAUUCAGGGUAGGUGACCUCAUGUGCCCAAAGUGUCCACCUCAAGUGAAGGAGGUCUGCGUGCUUUAGGUCUAAACAUCAUUUGUUGGACAGGCAACGAGGGGAUUUGCUGAAACCAAUGAACUCUGCCCUGAUCCACAC